Molecule: ribosomal RNA, 492 nt
Filed under: uncultured bacterium
Lineage: Bacteria
Description: partial 16S ribosomal RNA
Rfam family: Bacterial small subunit ribosomal RNA
Source: RNAcentral
AGUGAACGCUGGCGGUAGGCCUAACACAUGCAAGUCGAACGGCAGCACAGUAAGAGCUUGCUCUUACGGGUGGCGAGUGGCGGACGGGUGAGGAAUACAUCGGAAUCUACUUUUUCGUGGGGGAUAACGUAGGGAAACUUACGCUAAUACCGCAUACGACCUACGGGUGAAAGCAGGGGAUCUUCGGGCCUUGCGCGAUUGAAUGAGCCGAUGUCGGAUUAGCUAGUUGGCGGGGUAAAGGCCCACCAAGGCGACGAUCCGUAGCUGGUCUGAGAGGAUGGUCAGCCACACGGGAACUGAGACACGGUCCCGACUCCUACGGGAGGCAGCAGUGGGGAAUAUUGGACAAUGGGCGCAAGCCUGAUCCAGCCAUACCGCGUGGGUGAAGAAGGCCUUCGGGUUGUAAAGCCCUUUUGUUGGGAAAGAAAAGCAGCAGGUUAAUACCCCGCUGUUCUGACGGUACCCAAAGAAUAAGCACCGGCUAACUUCGUG